RNAcentral lists this ribosomal RNA (253 nucleotides) under uncultured bacterium. RNAcentral's name for it is "partial 16S ribosomal RNA". It matches the Rfam family "Bacterial small subunit ribosomal RNA", at positions 30 to 289 of the family's 1533-position model. The record is from RNAcentral.
UUGAACGCUGGCGGCAUGCCUUACACAUGCAAGUCGAACGGUAGAGGGGCAACCCUUGAGAGUGGCGAACGGGUGAGUAAUAUAUCGGAACGUGCCCAGUCGUGGGGGAUAACGCGGCGAAAGCUGCGCUAAUACCGCAUACGAUCUAUGGAUGAAAGCGGGGGAUCGCAAGACCUCGCGCGAUUGGAGCGGCCGAUAUCAGAUUAGGUAGUUGGUGGGGUAAAAGCCCCACCAAGCCGACGAUCUGUAGCUG